RNAcentral lists this transfer RNA (87 nucleotides) under Bacteriophage sp. RNAcentral describes it as "tRNA-Ser". It matches the Rfam family "tRNA". Rfam says of the family: Transfer RNA (tRNA) molecules are approximately 80 nucleotides in length. Their secondary structure includes four short double-helical elements and three loops (D, anti-codon, and T loops). Further hydrogen bonds mediate the characteristic L-shaped molecular structure. tRNAs have two regions of fundamental functional importance: the anti-codon, which is responsible for specific mRNA codon recognition, and the 3' end, to which the tRNAs corresponding amino acid is attached (by aminoacyl-tRNA synthetases). tRNAs cope with the degeneracy of the genetic code in two manners: having more than one tRNA (with a specific anti-codon) for a particular amino acid; and 'wobble' base-pairing, i.e. permitting non-standard base-pairing at the 3rd anti-codon position. The record is from RNAcentral.
GGAUAGGUGGCAGAGUUGGUAAUUGCGCUGGCUUUGAAUACCAGUGGUCUAGUAGUAGGCUUGUGAGUUCAAAUCUCACCCUAUCCG